GGCUGCAACUCGCCUGCAUGAAGUCGGAAUUGCUAGUAAUCGUGGAUCAGCAUGCCACGGUGAAUACGUUCCCGGGCUUUGUACACACCGCCCGUCACACCAUGGGAGUCGGUAACACCCGAAGCCUGUAGUCUAACCGCAAGGAGGACGCAGUCGAAGGUGGGAUUGAUGACUGGGGUGAAGUCGUAACAAGGUACC
RNAcentral lists this ribosomal RNA (198 nucleotides) under uncultured bacterium. RNAcentral's name for it is "partial 16S ribosomal RNA". It matches the Rfam family "Bacterial small subunit ribosomal RNA", at positions 1303 to 1500 of the family's 1533-position model. The record is from RNAcentral.